RNAcentral lists this ribosomal RNA (301 nucleotides) under uncultured bacterium. RNAcentral's name for it is "partial 16S ribosomal RNA". It matches the Rfam family "Bacterial small subunit ribosomal RNA", at positions 509 to 807 of the family's 1533-position model. The record is from RNAcentral.
CAGCAGCCGCGGUAAUACAGAGGGUGCAAGCGUUAAUCGGAAUUACUGGGCGUAAAGCGCGCGUAGGUGGUUUGUUAAGUUGGAUGUGAAAUCCCCGGGCUCAACCUGGGAACUGCAUCCAAAACUGGCAGGCUAGAGUAGGGCAGAGGGUGGUGGAAUUUCCUGUGUAGCGGUGAAAUGCGUAGAUAUAGGAAGGAACACCAGUGGCGAAGGCGACCACCUGGGCUCAUACUGACACUGAGGUGCGAAAGCGUGGGGAGCAAACAGGAUUAGAUACCCCCGUAGUCCCUGUCUCUUAUAC